This 237-nucleotide small RNA is filed under the name Octodon degus (degu). RNAcentral's name for it is "7SK RNA (ENSODEG00000024558.1)". It matches the Rfam family "7SK RNA", at positions 1 to 252 of the family's 331-position model. Rfam says of the family: 7SK was discovered as an abundant small nuclear RNA in the mid-70s but a possible function has only recently been suggested. Two independent studies have found that 7SK RNA binds the CDK9/cyclin T complex (known as elongation factor P-TEFb). Lineage: Eukaryota; Metazoa; Chordata; Mammalia; Rodentia; Octodontidae. The record is from RNAcentral.
GGAGGUGGGGGCAAUCUGGCUGUCAUAUGUGUCACUCCAGUGACCACCAGGCUUGAUCCAGCUGAUUGGGCUGGCUAGGAGGGGGCCUACCUCUCUCAGUGCUCCACGUGUGUGAUACGCUGGGUCAGAGAAGACCACCCCAGAUAGAAGAGAGCCAUUCCUCAGGGAAGGCUUUACAUCCGAGCAGCUGUGCUCCCCUGCUAGAACCUCCUAGCAAACUCUCAGUUCUCUUCCCUG